Molecule: ribosomal RNA, 109 nt
Filed under: Clostridioides difficile
Lineage: Bacteria; Bacillati; Bacillota; Clostridia; Peptostreptococcales; Peptostreptococcaceae
Description: partial 23S ribosomal RNA
Rfam family: Bacterial large subunit ribosomal RNA (bases 1-89)
Source: RNAcentral
CCAGAAAGACUAUCUGGUUGAUAGGUCGAAGGUGUAAGUGCAGCAAUGUAUUUAGCUUAUCGAUACUAAUAGGUCGAGGACUUUACCAAUAUUUAUUUGAUGUUCAGUC